CCUCGGAUGGAACGAGGAGGAGCUCUCGCGACCACGGCAGUAAGGUCAACGCGCGGCAACUUGAGGCAACCGGGGGAUGAUCGUGGGCGACAUCAUCUGACGCCAGCAAUGCAGCUUGCUAAUACUCCUGUUCGAAGACCAUGGAAAUUGAAAAAGAACUUCAGCUGACCACGGUACUCAGCUCAGGAACCGCAGAAUUGGUCAUGCAAGUCAAAGCCGGGACGGCCAAGCAAUGCAAGCUGACACAACAAGCCACAGUAGUUUGUUGCUUUCCUGCUAAUGCUACUUCCACUGGUUAGCAAAAAGUUGGUGUUUCAGACAUUGCUUUUUCACAGGGCAUGCAUCUCAAAACAACGAGCCGAAUUUGAAUGUGAGUA
This is a long non-coding RNA of Sorghum bicolor (sorghum), 377 nucleotides long. RefSeq lists it as uncharacterized. NCBI's taxonomy places the organism in Eukaryota, Viridiplantae, Streptophyta, Magnoliopsida, Poales, Poaceae. The record is from RefSeq and is a predicted model, not a curated record. The transcript is spliced from 2 exons.